Molecule: transfer RNA, 73 nt
Filed under: Phalcoboenus australis
Lineage: Eukaryota; Metazoa; Chordata; Aves; Falconiformes; Falconidae
Description: tRNA-Lys
Source: RNAcentral
CAUUAAGAAGCUAUGCAUCAGCACUAGCCUUUUAAGCUAGAGAAAGAGGAAGACCCCCACCCCUCCUUAAUGA